UGAGUAUCAUAGUAUUAUUCAAUUGGGACUGGGAAGCAACGCCAAUUACCCAAUAUGAAUCGCACGAAGAAUCAGUAAGCCUUAAAUGUCGUAGGUCCUGGGCUACGCUUGCGAGGCCCUCCAAGAAACAUUAACCAAUAUUGGGCUAAAAUGUCAAAUCUUAAAUCAAUAAAGCCUUAAACUUGUAGUUGGGUAGGGGCCGCGCGAACGCAGGCCCCCACUGCCACAAAUUAUGACGUAGGCUCUCCCUCAGUGGGGAGACCUUAGGGCAGCACCCCUCCGGUGUGCAAUGGAGGUCACUGACCUAGGCCAUGGGCCUUCUAGAUCACCCAUUGACCCCGUCCAGGUAAGUAUGGAUCAAGGAGCUAGUCUUUCUUAUUUUAUAAUCGCUUUUCUCCCAUCUCUUUCUCUAUUUUCGAUGUGGGACUAAACAAACACUCCCCUGCAACUCCAGAUAUCAGCGGUUCACUCUUGUACCUUCCUUCCCCAAUCGGCAUUUCAUCUCCUCUCUUAGAAACUUCUUCGUGAGAAUUCUUUUCCGCUAUUUGGUACUUCUUUCUUCUUCUUCUCCGGGUUCGGAAUUAGCGGUUAUUGUUGUUCUGAUUCGGUAGGUUUUUGUGUAGAAGCUUAGAGGUGUAAGGGGUUAUUCAGCAGUUAGUCGUGGAGGGCUGCGCGGCUUGAGGGAGUUAAGGAUGUUAUAGCUGUGGCUUCUGGUAAAGAUGGCGUUGCCAAGUCCACCAAUGCAGGUCAUUGCCUCCUAUUCUUCUUAUUGAUGAACUUUUUCUAUCAAUUUAGUUCAAAUUGUUAGAGAUUUCGAUUGAACUCGUUUCCCGUGUUUACAAUUUUGUGUUAAUUUCGCGUUUAAUAAGUGGAAGGACGACAAUGGCUUAUGAUUUGUGGCUUAGAGUGUUUUUUUUUUUGUUCUAGGAACAUAAACCAUGAGCAGUGAAGUUCAUGAAACAUGUUAGAGUAGGGUUUUCUCUUUUCUUGGUGGUGAUUAACGUGGAAACCAGAGAAAUUCAGGCAUCCACAAGAUAAUUAGGUGGUAAUUCUCGUAUGCAUUAUUUGAGUAAGUCAGAUUCCUUGAACCGUGUUGUUCGUUUGAGUUCUAAAGUUUUUCAAUGGGUAAACACGCAUAUGUGGACUGCAAAGUGGUUGACUUAAGAAGUAUGAUAUGCUGUGAGCCGAUUUAGAUAGGAUUUCAUGCAAAAUAACUCAAGGUGAUGAGCGAGUGAAUUGACAGCCAAUUUGGGGAAUAUAGUAGAUAGACGACUAAUAAAAUCACGCACCAUUGUUCCAUGGACCAUCUAUUCCUACCAUCAUGAUGAAAAUAUAUAGAAAGCCAGAUGUAGAUGGAGGUAAGAGCUCAAUAGUUAACGGCUCUGUGCGGUCAUCAUGUGAUUUUGCUAGAUGUUGUAGUCUUGUAGAUAGUUACCGUUUAAUUCUUUGCAGUGUAGAGAUGGGUUUGAAACUUGUUGGUGAGGUAUGUUGAUUAUUUUUAUUAAAAAAAAAGGUUUGCUGCUGGUCAUGCUAACGCUCAGAAGAAAUUUCAGUGAGUGAUUCAUUUGAUUUACUAGUUUCAGUGCAGUUAGAUUUGUGCUCUUCACUUUAUGUGUGGUUUAUUAGACAUGGCUGGUGUUUGGGAAGGGCCAAGGGGAAAGGGUGUUUGAUGCUAAAUUCAAUGGUUUCAUUUCUUUUCUUCUUAUUAAUUAAGUGCUGGAGCAGUGCAAGGUCUCAGAUAUUAAAUAAUAGAGUGGGAAGUGGGAAUGUAAAACCAUGAUAUUUGACUGUAUAAGUUCUUGAUGUUAUUGUUAUACUUGCGACUGAAAUAUGGUUGACCUCGGCAUCGCUUUGCCCAUCUAUAAAACCUUUGCUUUACUGUAUCAAUUUGAAUCCUCUGCAUCCUCAGUGUAAUAUACACAAAUAAACUAUGGCCAAAUGAUUAGCGCGUGAUCUCAGCAGGAACAUAUCUCAUACAUUUGGCCAGAUUCAUUUCAAAUUUUGGGACAGGUAACCUUGAAAGAUGAAGAGAAUGAUUGACCUGGAUAUCUUGGAUGAUGUCAGGCACACAAAUAUUGGCUACUUACUGAUUGCUGGGUGAUUUUUCAGUCCGGCCUGUCUGAUAUACCCAUAGAAGUGGCUCAAAAAGUUGUCAUCCGACUUGAGGAAUUGGGGAAGGAAAAACAGAAUGAUCCAGAGAUUAUACUGUGAACUUAUGCCAUAGUGAGAGUGAAGUUAGCAUUGGCAUCAUCUAACACCCAUAGCCAUUUGACAAUUAGAUAAGGGACCACACAGUAUGGGCCGCUCACUGCUUGAGUUAUCAUCCGCAGUAGUAGCAGCGCUUGUUGCUGCUUUUGUUACUUCUAGUGUAGAUAUUUAUAUUUGUUUGAGAGCACAUUUUAAGUUAGGAGUAUGGAUAAACCUGGACUGGUUGCACCAAAUGCGUCCCAAGAGCAGGGCACUUGUGAGGCAGUGAUGUAGAUUGUCAUCAUUUAACAGUUAUCCAGAAAGAUCCAGGCACAAUUUGCCCAUUUGUCUGAAUAAGGAUCUAUGCUGUCAAUUAGCAGCAUUUGUCUGC
Tripterygium wilfordii is the source of this 2578-nucleotide long non-coding RNA. RefSeq lists it as uncharacterized. The record is from RefSeq and is a predicted model, not a curated record. Lineage: Eukaryota; Viridiplantae; Streptophyta; Magnoliopsida; Celastrales; Celastraceae. The transcript has 2 exons.